UGAUGUGGCACAGCCUGGUUUUUGGUAGCAGGAAAGGGCCACGGGAGCAGCUUCUGUGACAAGCUGCUGGAAGCUUCAACCAUCUCUGACAAAGCAAAUCUCUGAUGGCUCUGAAGAUGGACAUGCUGCUGGCCCAGUUAGAGAGGGUAAGCGACAACUUUCAUGCCUGGCAUUUGGCCAGUGUCAAACCACAACACAAGGAAAACUAUGACCACUGCUUCAGCUUCCAAUUUCCAACUUUAGAGACAUGGGAACAGCACCAAGUAGUUCAGUUUCUAUUUUCACAACCAACUGAGAGCAGGAGCUGAGCAGCAGACAGAGCAGGUUCCAGUCAGACCAUUUAGGAUAACCUGGAUUGUGUCAUGGCUCUGUUAUGACUCCAGGAGGUGGCCAGUGACAAGAACCAGCUUGCAGCAGGUGAGGAAGAGCCCAAAGGAUUCCCAGAGAUCUGGGAGGGUGGACGUGGAAGAGUGGGAUGUCAGCAAUGUGGUGUGCAGGGUGAAGAGGGCAAGAGGAUUGGUCUAAGGAGGACAAUUCUUGGUGCUUCCACAAAGGGAAGGGCUAGCAGAAGAUCACAGUAGGAGCAAGCUUGGCCUCUUGCUCUGCAGGUUACCUACUGGGAAUUUAAUCCAUAUCUUGUCCCUGCUCCCAGGAAAGCAAGUCAGGCCCAUCUCUGGAGCAGAGACAGGACUCAACGAGGUUUCCAAUGCCUGCAAGCAGUGAAGCUCAGUGAUGAGCUGAUCUCUGCUGGGUGAGGAAGGUCCAUGUCCUCAGCUGCUCCCAAAGCCCCAGGCAUGUCCUUGUCCAACUCAGUCAAAGUUGUAGUAAAGGCAGAAAGCGAAGAACAUGGCAAAGAUCUGGAAUGAUGGAGGUGAGAGAGGGUCAACCCCAUGGCAGGGCCAGGCUGGGCCUGCAGAUGGAAGCAGAGAGGGGCUGGAGGAUCCCUGGCCUGGGGCCACUGCUGUGCCCCUCGAGGGGUCUGGGCCAGCUGUCCUGGUGCUGCACAGGGACACCCAGGGUGAGGAGACCCAGGGGGAGUAAAACAAACCCUCCCUUGUUCCUUCACCUGCCCCAUCUGCAGUGGAGAGCAGGCUCUGUACCCUGAGACAGACCUGAGCCCCUCUGUGCUCUCCUUGCCCACUGAGCAACCCCCACACCACCAAGAGUGGAUGCUCUGCCUGCCCUGGCCCUGACCCCCCUCAUUACCUCAAUGCCCAGCACGGCUAAGCUGCAGGUCCCAGGGAGGGAGAUGUACCUCUGCAGCGUCCUGCCAAAGGUGAAGAAGCAGCCCUGGGGCAGAGAGAGGAUGGAGAGGCUCUCUCAUGUUCCCCAUGGCCACAGGGACCCAGAGGGGGACCAGAGUGCAGGGGGAUGUGGGGGGGUCCCCUGUGGGGCAGGACAAGCUGAG
This is a non-coding RNA of Cyanistes caeruleus (blue tit), 1408 nucleotides long. The record is from RefSeq and is a predicted model, not a curated record. Lineage: Eukaryota; Metazoa; Chordata; Aves; Passeriformes; Paridae.